UUAGUGUACUAUCUUGUAAUCUGUAUGCUUCAUUUCCGUAUGCUCCAUUUGUGUAUGCUCUAAGUUAAACCCUUUCUGGUGUCAGUUUUGGGUUUCUGUCUUUCUUAGUUUUGUAACUUUUUCACCUGUGUUUUGCAUUCAAGAGGUUGUUGUUGUAUCAGUUGAUGAUUCUACUAAUCCUUCACUCAAAAGACGCAUUGCGGCUCCUCUAGUGAACUUCCUCGCAAAGAGAAAGCAAGGGACGGGUUUUGAAUUAGCCCGGCACCAUUCUGUUCGAUACUCUGUUUCAUAGUAUACAUGGUUGAUUUUCUUUAUCUCUUCUAUUUCCUUUGCUCCGGAGUUGUCAGAUGUGAAAGUGAGAGGAUGCCAAGAUUUGGCUUCAGCUUUUUUGGCUAAUAGGUUCCAUGUUGUGUAUGUCACUGUUCUCCGUUCCAUUUCACUUUCCAAGCCACGCAUCUGAAAGAGAUCAAGAGUUUAGGAUACACAACAUUCAAUGUGGAAACCUGAAAGAGAGAUGUUGUUUGUGCUUACUGUAAGUAGAGUUUGAACGUAGUGUUCAUCAGGGAUGCAGUUGUGACGUCUGUGUUUCUGUUUCCGCAUUCACAGCAAUGUAGGAAACAUAUUAUGAAAAAUGCCGCUAUUUUACUGAGAAAGAACGAGAUAUCUGUGGGAAAUAACACUCAUAAUCUCGACACUAGGAGAGAUUAAGACCAAACAGAAGAUUCUCUAAUUGUUCAUUGCUAUUAACAGAGACAACUUGUUUGUGGAAUCAUAUAAACUGAUCUAGAGGCAGUAGAGGGUAUUAAGAAAAAUAGCGAAGGCCAACUUACAAGAUAUAGCCAUUUGUUACUGGGAUCCAGAGGUAGAGAUCGCUGGAAAAGAUAAGAAAUAAACAACUAAUAAGUUAUUUCUUCAAGAAAACAGCACAAGUGAAACAAUUUUACAAACAUUUGAUGUUUUACAAAGGGUGAUGUUCUCCUCAUCACAAGUGAAGAAGACACCAAAAACCUUGAGUUUUUUACCUUGCAAAAUUUCUGAAAAACUGGGAACACAGUAUCGUCGUUAACAAUGACCUCUGCAUGGCUUCUGAUCAAUGAUAUCCACUGCAAUAAACCAAAAAUGUAUAUAAGAAAAUGAUUUAUAAAACUGCAACAGAAAAUCUUGUCUCAAGAAACUCAAAACUCUAAAAAUCAAGCACAGGAAACAAUUCUGCAAAAGUUGAUUUCAAAAUAAUAAGAGAUGAAGAAUAUAACCUGAGAUCCUUUUCGCCAUUUCUCUUUGGGUAUGACAGGAAACAUUUUCAUGGUGUAGCGCUGAUCUUUAGUAUCAAGGAAACUACAAAACAGUUGAUGAUGAUCAAGAGCAAGAUUUAUAAAAAAAAUAGUUGGCUCGAGCAACAACAUCUAUCAUCAUUUAGCAUAACGAAACUGAUCGUGUUUACCUAUCAACAAAGCUUUUGGGUGAAGACAUAAGAUAUGUGUAGAUGUAACCAAAGUCGUAUAAAGGAACACAGCUGCAUCAGAUAAGAGAUGGUCAAGCAAUGAAUGAAUGAAUGAAUAUAUGUGUAAAAGUCUUGAAGCAACAAACCUAUCAGAUAAAAGAACAAAUCUUUGAUUAGAAGGCUCUUCCAAGGCGGAUGCAAGCAACAAUCUCUCUGCUGCAAUCAUGCUUGCUUCGCCCCAUACCACCUCGAUGCUAUUCUUCAACUGGCGAUUGUGGAAGAAGUGUGAUCGAGUGGUGCCUUGAUCGAAUACGAAACCAGGUGUUGAAUGUACAUAGAUUGACAAGUUCCUCUCAUCUCCGCCCUAAGAAGAAAUAUGAUGAGUGAUUCAGAGGGGAAGGGAAUGGAAUGGAAUGGAUGAUCCUACCUUGAAGAAUCUGUCCCAUAGGAAAUCGAGAGGCAGGUCAUGGCGAGCGAGGAAAAGGAACGCCAUCUUCGGACGCUCGCCCGAGUAUUUCUGGAGCGGGAUUCGGGAUCUCACGGGACGAGACUCACGGUGGUAGAUACUGAAGAGAGCUAGUACGCAUAGAGAGGCGGAGAGUGCAGUGAUUAGCUUCCAUCGAAACGACACGACGCCGCGACGUGACGCCGGAAUCUGCGGCGGCGAUCUCCGCGCCAUACUAAGUCACUCGCUCACCUCCAGAGAUGUGCAUUCGAAAUCCCUGUUAGGGUUUUUGAAAUCGAGAUUUGACGUUCAAUCUCGUGAAAACGACAUCGUCUCUCUGUCCACGUGGUGAGAUUUAUGGGACCUUGCCGUUUAGGUAACAUUCCAAAUGCAAUUAAUUUGUUGUUUAUUCUUUGAUGUACGUUAUUUCUUGCAUCAAUUGCGGGUGAGCAACCUUUGUUUUGGUAUGAUUCCCCGCAACACACUCUUUUCAUUUUCUUUACACUUUUGGGGAAAUGGAUAUAUUUUAGGGAUUCCACAACUAUAACUAUUUGUUAUCGGCACAUUUCAUUAAAAAAAAUCCCGUAUAUAUUACUCAUGAGGCCUUAUAACAUUUCUUUUGUAGCCACGUCGUCACGAGAAUAAUUUUUAGAAUUCUUAGAAAAAUGAGUUGGUCCGUAUAAACAUAUUCUAUGAUUUUUAUUAAACUAACUAUCAAAUUAAUUAGUAGUGUACAAAAGAAUAUUUUUUCUUUCCUUAAAUAAAAGCUACAAAAUUACCUAAUAUGGUUAAUAUAUAUAUGACAAUUAAUGAUUAUGAAUAAUACAUAUUUGAUAACAAUUUUUGUAUCAUUUCUAUUUUUUUGUUUAAUUUUAUAUUAUUGAAAGAAAUUAAACAAGAGAAAAAGACUAUUAUAGCACCAAACCAAGUUUUUGUUCCCAAAGUAGCACUCAAGUCUCAAAGUCACAAAAAUAGGUUUCAUUAAAGAGGUAAAUAUACACUUAUACCCCUUGGGUUAAUUAAUCCAAACCUUAGGGUUUAGAGUUAAGGGGUGGGGUUUUGGAAUUAGGGUUUAAAAUUUUAUAAAAAAUAAAUACUAAAAUAAAAAAUAAAAAUUUUAAAAACAUGGUGCGGUCGUUUAGUCGCAGUGGAAUGUUAGAGGCCGUAGAAGUCAGCUAUAACGCCCCGACCCGCUCACGGCUAAUGGGCCACCCACGCCCGCUCUCUCGGCCCGUGGGCCCCAUCCCGUCUGAUGGUUGGUCCGUUAAUUUUCCAAGGCUUAACGCCCUGACCCGCCCACAGCUAAUGGGCCACCCACGCCCGCUCUCUCGGCCCGUGGGCCACAUCCCGUCUGACUGUUGGUCCGUUAAUUUUUCAAGGCUUAGAAUCAUUGUUUACUGACCCUGCAAUCAUCAUCCGACCUUUUCCCAUGCUUUGGCCUCACUCGCACGCUAUCGCGAAUCACUUCCCGAUAGGUCACCCAUCCUUCCACUACUCCAGUUCAAGCACGCUUAACUCUGGAGUUCUUUCAGGAUGUGCUCCAGAAAAGGUAAGUCAACUUUGGUGACAUAGGUAGCCAAAUCAAUUUUCUUAAGCCUUUUUCACAUAUCACAACUCGGGAUGUUACAUCAGCACUACCACGACUUACAUGCCCGCAUUCAGCAAGAGCCGGUCCCGGACCCACAUCAGGGCAGUGAUAUGGUAUUGUGGAAGCACUCAGAAGAUAACUACGUACAAGCCAUGGUUCUCUUCCUCACACACCUGGGAGCAGAUCAGAACUAGUAAAGACAAGGUCUUUUGGAGUAAAGCUGUUUGGUUCACUCAAGGGGUACCACGCUUCUUCUUUAUAGUCUGGUUAGCAGUGAGAGACAGACUAUCGACUGGUGACAGAAUGAGAGCUUGGGGCAUUCAGCAGGGGUGUGUCAUGUGCGGAGAGAUAGAUGAAACUAGAGACCAUGUAUUCUUUGCUUGCCCUUACUCCUUCUCUGUUUGGGAUAGGCUCGCAGGUCGACUUAGUAGAAAUGGCACAGAUCCUGAUUGGAUGGUCACAUUACAGUAUGUGAGUUCAAACAACCUGCAGUUGUUAGAUAAGAUCCUGCUAAAACUGCUAUUCCAGACCACCAUUUACUACGUAUGGCGGGAGAGGAAUCAAAGGAGGCAUCGCACUAGAUUCAGAACAGUAGAUCAAACAGUUCGAAUCAUUGACAGGGUAGUCCGAAAUAGAAUUACUUCUCUGAUGUAUAAGGCAAAGCAUAGGCUUGGGGGAUGAUGCAAAGAUGGUUUGAAGUCACAGCCAACACAUAGAAGAAUUAGGAUUCAUACUUAUAGCCUUGUAAAUUAGUUUGGCUUUUAUUUUCUUGUAAAUGCCUAUUUUUGCCAAGAUCAAUAAAUUUCACAUUUCAUCAAAAAAAAAAAAUUCAUGGUUUGAUAAGUUUUCUCGGCUGCGAUUUUAAAGUUUGUGUGCAGAGAAACAUAACAACUCCUACUAAAUAAACUAGUCCCUAGACCCAUCAAACUGGUUUCCCGAAACAUUUGUAUUAUAAAUUUUGUAUAAGAAGCCCAUGAAUUGCCGGUUUAUUUAAAAUACAUAUAAAAUACCAAAAAAGGAAAUACAUAACGACUGCGGUUUAUACUAAACCACUGAUUAAUUAAUGUACUAUCUUUGUAAUCUGUAUGCUUCAUUUGCGUAUACUCCAUUUGUGUAUGCUCUAAGUUAAACCCUUUCUGGUGUCAGUUUUGGGUUUCUGUCUCUCUUAGUUUUGUAACUUUUUUACCUUUGUGUUUUGCAUUCAAGAGGUGGUUGUUGUAUCAGUUGAUGAUUCUACUAAUCCUUCACUCAAAAGACGCAUUGCGGCUCCUCUAGUGAACUUCCUCGCAAAGAGAAAGCAAGGGACGGGUUUUGAAUUAGCCCGGCACCAUUCUGUUCGAUACUCUGUUUCAUAGUAUACAUGGUUGAUUUUCUUUAUCUCUUCUAUUUCCUUUGCUCCGGAGUUGUCAGAUGUGAAAGUGAGAGGAUGCCAAGAUUUGGCUUCAGCUUUUUUGGCUAAUAGGUUCCAUGUUGUGUAUGUCACUGUUCUCCGUUCCAUUUCACUUUCCAAGCCACGCAUCUGAAAGAGAUCAAGAGUUUAGGAUACACAACAUUCAAUGUGGAAACCUGAAAGAGAGAUGUUG
This 5057-nucleotide long non-coding RNA is filed under the name Brassica napus (rape). Its description in RNAcentral is "long non-coding RNA (BNAP_LNC004246)". Lineage: Eukaryota; Viridiplantae; Streptophyta; Magnoliopsida; Brassicales; Brassicaceae. The record is from RNAcentral.